GCCCUACGGGAGGCAGCAGUGAGGAAUAUUGGUCAAUGGCCGAGAGGCUGAACCAGCCAAGUCGCGUGAGGGAAGACGGCCCUAUGGGUUGUAAACCUCUUUUGUCGGAGAACAAAACCCGGGACGUGUCCCGGACUGCGUGUAUCCGAAGAAAAAGCAUCGGCUAACUCCGUGCCAGCAGCCGCGGUAAUACGGAGGAUGCGAGCGUUAUCCGGAUUUAUUGGGUUUAAAGGGUGCGUAGGCGGCCCGUUAAGUCAGCGGUAAAAUUGCGGGGCCCAACCCCGUCGCGC
RNAcentral lists this ribosomal RNA (290 nucleotides) under uncultured bacterium. Its description in RNAcentral is "partial 16S ribosomal RNA". It matches the Rfam family "Bacterial small subunit ribosomal RNA", at positions 335 to 624 of the family's 1533-position model. The record is from RNAcentral.